Molecule: ribosomal RNA, 565 nt
Filed under: uncultured bacterium
Lineage: Bacteria
Description: bacterial SSU rRNA
Rfam family: Bacterial small subunit ribosomal RNA
Source: RNAcentral
GGAAUUUUGGACAAUGGACGCAAGUCUGAUCCAGCCAUGCCGCGUGCGGGAAGAAGGCCUUCGGGUUGUAAACCGCUUUUGUCAGGGAAGAAACGCUCUGGGUUAAUACCUCGGGGUAAUGACGGUACCUGAAGAAUAAGCACCGGCUAACUACGUGCCAGCAGCCGCGGUAAUACGUAGGGUGCAAGCGUUAAUCGGAAUUACUGGGCGUAAAGCGUGCGCAGGCGGUUAUGCAAGACAGAGGUGAAAUCCCCGGGCUCAACCUGGGAACUGCCUUUGUGACUGCAUAGCUAGAGUACGGUAGAGGGGGAUGGAAUUCCGCGUGUAGCAGUGAAAUGCGUAGAUAUGCGGAGGAACACCGAUGGCGAAGGCAAUCCCCUGGACCUGUACUGACGCUCAUGCACGAAAGCGUGGGGAGCAAACAGGAUUAGAUACCCUGGUAGUCCACGCCCUAAACGAUGUCAACUGGUUGUUGGGAGGGUUUCUUCUCAGUAACGUAGCUAACGCGUGAAGUUGACCGCCUGGGGAGUACGGCCGCAAGGUUGAAACUCAAAUGAAUUGACGG